UACGUAGGGUGCGAGCGUUUGUCCGGAAUUAUUGGGCGUAAAGAGCUCGUAGGCGGUGUGUCACGUCGGCCGUGAAAACCUGGGGCUUAACUCUGGGCGUGCGGUCGAUACGGGCAUCACUAGAGUUCGGUAGGGGAGACUGGAAGUUCCUGGAUGUAGCGGUGAAAUGACGCAGAUAUCAGGAGGAACACCGGUGGCGAAGGCGGGUCUCUGGGCCGAUACUGACGCUGAGGAGCGAAAGCAUGGGUAGCGAACAGG
RNAcentral lists this ribosomal RNA (258 nucleotides) under uncultured bacterium. Its description in RNAcentral is "partial 16S ribosomal RNA". It matches the Rfam family "Bacterial small subunit ribosomal RNA", at positions 524 to 776 of the family's 1533-position model. The record is from RNAcentral.